RNAcentral lists this transfer RNA (76 nucleotides) under Bacteroidetes/Chlorobi group bacterium ChocPot_Mid. RNAcentral describes it as "tRNA-Thr". It matches the Rfam family "tRNA". From Rfam's summary of the family: Transfer RNA (tRNA) molecules are approximately 80 nucleotides in length. The record is from RNAcentral. Lineage: Bacteria; Pseudomonadati.
GCUGAUGUAGCUCAGGUGGUAGAGCACAUCCUUGGUAAGGAUGAGGUCACGGGUUCAAGUCCCGUCAUCAGCUCGA